CCUACGGGUGGCAGCAGUAGGGAAUAUUGGGCAAUGGACGAAAGUCUGACCCAGCCAUGCCGCGUGCAGGAUGAAGGCGCUCAGCGUUGUAAACUGCUUUUGAUAGGGAAGAACGGCCUUCUUGCGAGAAGGUGUGACGGUACCUACAGAAUAAGCACCGGCUAACUCCGUGCCAGCAGCCGCGGUAAUACGGAGGGUGCAAGCGUUGUCCGGAUUUAUUGGGUUUAAAGGGUGCGUAGGUGGCUUUUUAAGUCUGACCUGAAAGUGGGCCGCUU
This 275-nucleotide ribosomal RNA is filed under the name uncultured Larkinella sp. RNAcentral's name for it is "partial 16S ribosomal RNA". It matches the Rfam family "Bacterial small subunit ribosomal RNA", at positions 338 to 610 of the family's 1533-position model. The record is from RNAcentral. Lineage: Bacteria; Pseudomonadati; Bacteroidota; Cytophagia; Cytophagales; Spirosomataceae.